UUUCCGAGGCAUCUACGUGCGGUCGAAGAAUUCUUCGGAAUUGUGGCGGACGGGUGAGUAACGCGUGAGAAUCUGCCUCGAGGAUGGGGACAACAGUUGGAAACGACUGCUAAUACCCAAUGUGCCGUAUGGUGAAAUAAUUUAGCCUUGAGAGGAGCUCGCGUCCGAUUAGUUAGUUGGUGGGGUAAUGGCUUACCAAGGCAGCGAUCGGUAGCUGGUCUGAGAGGAUGAGCAGCCACACUGGGACUGAGACACGGCCCAGACUCCUACGGGAGGCAGCAGUGGGGAAUUUUCCGCAAUGGGCGAAAGCCUGACGGAGCAAUACCGCGUGAGGGAGGAAGGCUUUUGGGUUGUAAACCUCUUUUUUAAAGGAAGAAGAAAGUGACGGUACUUUAAGAAUCAGCAUCGGCUAACUCCGUGCCAGCAGCCGCGGUAAUACGGAGGAUGCAAGCGUUAUCCGGAAUCAUUGGGCGUAAAGCGUCCGCAGGUGGUUCAUCAAGUCUGCUGUUAAAGACAGAAGCUCAACUUCUGGUCAGCGGUGGAAACUGGUGAACUAGAGUACGGUAGGGGUUGAGGGAAUUCCCAGUGUAGCGGUGAAAUGCGUAGAUAUUGGGAAGAACACCAGUGGCGAAGGCGCUCAACUGGGCCGUAACUGACACUCAGGGACGAAAGCUAGGGGAGCGAAAGGGAUUAGAUACCCCUGUAGUCCUAGCUGUAAACGAUGAACACUAGGCGUUGCUUGUAUCGACCCGAGCAGUGCCGUAGCCAACGCGUUAAGUGUUCCGCCUGGGGAGUACGCACGCAAGUGUGAAACUCA
Molecule: ribosomal RNA, 817 nt
Filed under: uncultured marine bacterium
Lineage: Bacteria
Description: bacterial SSU rRNA
Rfam family: Bacterial small subunit ribosomal RNA
Source: RNAcentral